Long non-coding RNA from Columba livia (rock pigeon), 1479 nucleotides. RefSeq lists it as uncharacterized. The record is from RefSeq and is a predicted model, not a curated record. NCBI's taxonomy places the organism in Eukaryota, Metazoa, Chordata, Aves, Columbiformes, Columbidae. The transcript has 3 exons.
UUUAGGUGUGUGAGGAUCCAGAGAUAGCAAAGAUGAGUGAACAAGGCAAUUUCAAUCUGUGCAACUACAGUUCUGGUGCUUCUAUCCUGAUUCUGCUCAAGUUCAUCAGGAAAGAUUAACUUUGGCAGCUUAUUCAGUGACUAAAUCUUGAUAUUUUUGUGGCUUAAUUCAUAACAUAACUGUAAGCUAUUGCCCUGUGUUUAUAUUUCCCAUCCAUUUCUCACAUUUCCAAAGCAUACUGAUAUGUGAUCCUGGCAAUUUAGCUACCAUAAUUGGCAUUUUUCUAGGGCCGAAAGGAAACAAAUUCCUUAUCCUCCAUACUUCUUUAAUUUCUGAAAAACAACAAGUAACAUGGUUAAUCCUCUUUUUGAUCUUUCCCCCCUCCCUUUGAGUUUUUCUUAUGGUCUUUUCCUUUUAAUCUUUUACUUUCUUUUUAAUCUUCACUCAUUGUCCCCCCACAGUUGAAGAAUUUCAUGUACUUACAUCUCUAAAAAGAAUUGGACCACUUUAUAGAAAUAGCUCUUUAGGAUCUUGUUCAAAGCACCAUUAUGUACUGCUAGCUGUCUGGGGGAGGAUGAAAAAAAAAGAGGAGAGAAAAAGCAACUUUAAAGCAGUGUUUGUUUGUGUAGCUUAACAGAACAUUGGUCUGCCCAACUAGAUGCUGAAACAGUGCACAGAAACACCCCCAGUCACAAUAAAACUAGGUUACACUAGGGGAGCAGAUGGGUUUAACUGGGGUUGGGUUGUAUCAUCCAGCUCCUGAUGCAGGUGUGUUUGGGCAAGAGCAUUUCAGGAAAGGCAAGGCCAGUCAACACAGGUGAAUUCCAUAGACCAUCAGGGAACAGCUCCCCCAAAGCUGGAGGGAACAAGCUGUGCUGUGGCUGGAAGGCACAAAGCUCCCUGAGGCUGAUCAGAAUGUGGCUGAGGACCCACCACUUACACAGAAGUAUCCCUGGAGACCCAGUCUAACCAUUUGAGUUUGGAGGCAGAAGAGUUUAUCUGCUAUGGUCUGCCCUGGACUGCUGGACUCGUGUGCAGCUCUGCAGAUCAUAAUGACUCUUCUUCGGUUCCAGUGUUUCAUCUGGCAUGAAGGUUGCUGAGCAUCACACUCAUUUUCUGAGUGAAGGAAGGGGAAGGGAGGAGUGCUGGCAUGUCAUGCUCAAUGUGGCCAUGAGAUAAUACCUGUGCCCAGCAAGUCCUACAAAAUAAACAUAAAUGGUUAAAUUCAGGUGCAUAAGAACAUUCAUUUUAGUUUCAUCUGCCCCAUUGUAUUAACUAGACUUUUUGCUUAGUCAUAACUAAUUUAAACAGCUGAAUAUUGGGGAGCAAACCACAUAUUUAAGGCAGUUUGCAAAACUGUCAGCUGAAUUCUCUCUCAGCAGGGAAAAAAGCAUCAACCCAAACCUAAAUUUGCUAUAUAAAUUAUUCAUUGUGAAUCAUUCACUUAAUUCUCAUAAUAAAUGGUUUCCUACCCUUGGU